RNAcentral lists this ribosomal RNA (842 nucleotides) under Microbacterium sp. RNAcentral's name for it is "bacterial SSU rRNA". It matches the Rfam family "Bacterial small subunit ribosomal RNA", at positions 10 to 863 of the family's 1533-position model. Lineage: Bacteria; Bacillati; Actinomycetota; Actinomycetes; Micrococcales; Microbacteriaceae. The record is from RNAcentral.
AGUUUGAUCCUGGCUCAGGAUGAACGCUGGCGGCGUGCUUAACACAUGCAAGUCGAACGGUGAAGCAGAGCUUGCUCUGUGGAUCAGUGGCGAACGGGUGAGUAACACGUGAGCAAUCUGCCCCUGACUCUGGGAUAAGCGCUGGAAACGGCGUCUAAUACCGGAUACGAGCUGCGACCGCAUGGUCAGUAGCUGGAAAGAAUUUCGGUCAGGGAUGAGCUCGCGGCCUAUCAGCUUGUUGGUGAGGUAAUGGCUCACCAAGGCGUCGACGGGUAGCCGGCCUGAGAGGGUGACCGGCCACACUGGGACUGAGACACGGCCCAGACUCCUACGGGAGGCAGCAGUGGGGAAUAUUGCACAAUGGGCGCAAGCCUGAUGCAGCAACGCCGCGUGAGGGAUGACGGCCUUCGGGUUGUAAACCUCUUUUAGCAGGGAAGAAGCGAAAGUGACGGUACCUGCAGAAAAAGCGCCGGCUAACUACGUGCCAGCAGCCGCGGUAAUACGUAGGGCGCAAGCGUUAUCCGGAAUUAUUGGGCGUAAAGAGCUCGUAGGCGGUCUGUCGCGUCUGCUGUGAAAACCCGAGGCUCAACCUCGGGCCUGCAGUGGGUACGGGCAGACUAGAGUGCGGUAGGGGAGAUUGGAAUUCCUGGUGUAGCGGUGGAAUGCGCAGAUAUCAGGAGGAACACCGAUGGCGAAGGCAGAUCUCUGGGCCGUAACUGACGCUGAGGAGCGAAAGGGUGGGGAGCAAACAGGCUUAGAUACCCUGGUAGUCCACCCCGUAAACGUUGGGAACUAGUUGUGGGGUCCAUUCCACGGAUUCCGUGACGCAGCUAACGCAUUAA